RNAcentral lists this ribosomal RNA (461 nucleotides) under uncultured bacterium. RNAcentral's name for it is "partial 16S ribosomal RNA". It matches the Rfam family "Bacterial small subunit ribosomal RNA", at positions 28 to 506 of the family's 1533-position model. The record is from RNAcentral.
GACGAACGCUGGCGGCGUGCUUAACACAUGCAAGUCGAACGGAAAGGCCCUUCGGGGUACUCGAGUGGCGAACGGGUGAGUAACACGUGGGUGAUCUGCCCUGCACUUUGGGAUAAGCCUGGGAAACUGGGUCUAAUACCGAAUAGGACCACGCGCUUCAUGGUGUGUGGUGGAAAGCUUUUGCGGUGUGGGAUGGGCCCGCGGCCUAUCAGCUUGUUGGUGGGGUAAUGGCCUACCAAGGCGACGACGGGUAGCCGGCCUGAGAGGGUGACCGGCCACACUGGGAAGGAGAGACGGCCCAGCAGCCUCCGGGGGGCAGGAGGGGGGAAUAUGGCCAAAGGGGCGAAAGCCUGAAGCAGCGACGCGGGGGGGGGGAGGACGGCCUUCGGGUUGUAAACCCCUUUCAAAAGGGACGAAGCGCAAGGGAGGGGACCUAAAGAAGAAGCACCGGCCAAUUAAGU